This 91-nucleotide non-coding RNA is filed under the name Sciurus vulgaris (Eurasian red squirrel). Lineage: Eukaryota; Metazoa; Chordata; Mammalia; Rodentia; Sciuridae. The record is from RNAcentral.
GUGUUGUAUGAAAGGAGAGAAGGUUAGCACUCUCCUUAACAAGGAAGAUAAAUAUGAGUAAUAUAAUAAACAGGAAUCAAUACAAUAUUAA